This 186-nucleotide ribosomal RNA is filed under the name uncultured bacterium. RNAcentral's name for it is "partial 16S ribosomal RNA". It matches the Rfam family "Bacterial small subunit ribosomal RNA", at positions 1317 to 1500 of the family's 1533-position model. The record is from RNAcentral.
UCCAUGAAGCUGGAAUUGCUAGUAAUGGCAGGUCAGCAUACUGCCGUGAAUACGUUCCCGGGCCUUGUACACACCGCCCGUCACACCAUGAGAGUUGGGGAUACCCGAAGCCUGUGAGCUAACUAUUUAUAGGAGCAGCAGUCGAAGGUAGAAUCAAUGAUUGGGGUGAAGUCGUAACAAGGUAAC